CCCUUAGAUGUUCUGGGCCGCACGCGCGCUACACUGACUACUUCAACGAGUUGUUUCCUUGAUCGAAAGGUCUGGGUAAUCUUUGAAAGGUAGUCGUGAUGGGGAUAGAUCCUUGCAAUUUUUGAUCUUCAACGAGGAAUUCCUAGUAAACGCAAGUCAUCAGCUUGCAUUGAUUACGUCCCUGCCCUUUGUACACACCGCCCGUCGCACCUACCGAUUGAAUGGUCCGGUGAAAUCUCGGGACGGCGGCUUGGUCGCUUGCGUCCGACUGCUGAAACUUGAUUAAACCAUAUCAUUUAGAGGAAGGUGAANUCGUAGCA
RNAcentral lists this ribosomal RNA (320 nucleotides) under uncultured eukaryote. RNAcentral's name for it is "partial 18S ribosomal RNA". It matches the Rfam family "Eukaryotic small subunit ribosomal RNA", at positions 1470 to 1796 of the family's 1831-position model. The record is from RNAcentral.